GCGAUUACCGAUUUAUCGGCAAAUACUGCGAUAAAAUUUAAAUUUCGUACUUUUUAUGCAAUGAAUAUUUAAAAAGUAGAGAAAACUAAGUUUUAUCGCGGUAUUUGCCGAUAAAUCGGUAAUCGC
Molecule: non-coding RNA, 126 nt
Organism: Paramuricea clavata
Lineage: Eukaryota; Metazoa; Cnidaria; Anthozoa; Malacalcyonacea; Plexauridae
Source: the annotation of a GenBank genome assembly